Molecule: long non-coding RNA, 6736 nt
Organism: Passer domesticus (house sparrow)
Lineage: Eukaryota; Metazoa; Chordata; Aves; Passeriformes; Passeridae
Exons: 7
Source: RefSeq, a predicted model, not a curated record
AGCGGGGCUCUGGGCUCCUGCCCCGGCAGUGCCCGGGCUGCCCCUGGGGGCACGGGCUGCCACAUCUGCCCUCCCGAGGAGCCUGUCCCCGUGUCUGGGAUGUGCCGGCACUGCCGCGGCUCCCAGCUCGCUGUCCCCGCACCAGGGUGGCAGACAGGCACAGCACCGCUCCCGCUGCCGGCUGCACUCUGUGCCCCGGCCACUUCUGCUGCUCCUUCCUCUAUCCAGUCCCCAAAUCAGCGCUUUGGCCACGAGGAUCCUGCGGGCGCUGUGCCCAAGCUCCGAGGGUUUUCCAGGCUGGCCUGGCUCUGCAGCUCCUCGGAGGGGCUGGAAGCAGCGGUGUGGAUUUUCCCCUGCUGGGGCAGCAGAGCAGAAGGGAUGCGCUGUGCCUGCCUGGCUGAUAACGAGGAACAAACUCAAUUAACCACCACCAAACCCCUCUUCUUGCCGUGGGACACGGAGUCCUGAGCACCUCAAACCACACCCAGCCCUUCAGACCACGGCAAUAAUGGGAUAUUGCUGCAGGGAGAUGGCUGAGGAAUGCUCAGGGAAAAGCUGAUUUUGGAGAGGCUGGAAGCACGAGGCACCUCCCGGGAUCGGCCCCAGCCACUGCUGUCCCUCAUUCUUGUCCAGACACUGAUAUUCCCGAGCUCUUCCCGCCCUCCAAGUCCUCUGCAAGUGUUAAGUAUGUUUUUGCAUCCAGCAAAUGGAACAAUAACAGAGGACUUAAUUUUCCCAUCUGUCAACUCAUCCCGAACAAAUUAUGCCAUCUGUCCUGUCCCUCCUGCUGUCCCAACUUCACCCAGCUGGCCGGCUCAGAUAAGGGCUCCAGGGGCAGAUAAGAAGUUCUUUCCCUUCUCCUCCCUCUUCUGGAGCAGCAGCAAAUGGUGAGGCUGAGCUUUCACAGCCCUUAAACACCCAGGAAAGUGAAACUAAUCCCAGGCUCUGGGAAAAACAUUUGUCAACGCAAAUCCCUGGUGAGAGAAGUGAAAUGAUAGCAAAAAACAAGUUGGUUGCCCUUCUCCUCAGCAGCCCUGAGCCACCCUUGAGGUUCCAGGGCAGGGUCACCUGGAGCAAAAGCCAGUUCUGUGAUGUGGCAAAGACACACCCUGCAGGACACAGGUUGGAAUUGGGCUCCGGAGCCGUUUCCAUGGGAAAACAAACGGGUUUCUGUGACAGCGCAGAGCAAGUGCCGGCUCCGGGCUAGGAACUCUCUCCAGCCCGUGCUAAGUGCAGGAUGUUCCUCACCAGGUCCCUCCAAGCCAGCAGCUGCUUUUCCCACCCUUCCCCAUCAGGCAGCUUGAGUGCAAGAGGUGCUCUGGCUCGCAGCCAGCCGGGAGGCGUCGGGACAGAAUCCAUGUUUGCAAACCCCUCUGAUGGCAGCAGCCAGGCUCAGCCCCGUGCCUGCCCAUAAAUCCAGGACACAAAGAAACGCCGGUAACAAAACGCCUGUAACUCAGCAAAGCUCCUGGAAGGAGCCCAAAAGCCGUGUCUAAUGCUAAUAAUAAGCGUAUUUCCCAAAGGUAACAUUUGAUUUCUCUCCAAAACGAAACAUUUUUGAAGCUCUGCCUGGUUGGGGUUGUAUGGGAGAUUAACUGGGGCGCUUUAAUGUGUGGCUGAGUUUGUAAAGCCUUCAGCCAGCUCUGGAGGAGCUGCCCCAUCCUGACAAGACCCAAAACCACUUCCCAGAUAAUGUGGUGUUUUCCACAGCGAGCCUGGAAAAAUCCAGGGAAGGGCUUUGGGUUUGUGGCACGCACAUCUGGCGAGCCAGAGCCCGGAGCGGCGAGCGCAGAGCGCGCUGACCAGAAAUAUUUGUGCUGAGCAUCGAUGGGCUGCCCAAAAUGACCUCCAGAGCCCGUGCAGAGCUCCGAGGGUUUCCAAAAAAUCCAUCCCAGCCCAUUAUGUGCUGGAAUGCAUCCGGGUGCACCAUGCCUGGAGCCUCUGCUAGGGAGAGCGAUGGAAACGGGUGGGAUUUGGGAUAAAUCAGGCUGGUGGAGGGGGGAAAUCACGACAGAAUGCUGUCCCGUUUUGUUUCUUUAUCUUGAUUUCUUUAUCUUGGUUUCUUUAUCUUGGUUUCUGUAUCUUUCCAGCUGGGGGAGGGGAGCCCCAGAGGGAGCGGGCCCUGGCUGCCCCGCCAGCGUUCGCAAUCAAUGCAGAUAAUGCACUUGGAAGUGCUCUCUCCUCUACUGGUUUUCCGUAAAUCGCUGGGCACAGCUUCCCAGUGAUAAUGGCAGAGCUGCGCCUGUGCCAGCACGGAUUGAGCUCCAAGUGAAAAAGGAGAGUGCAGUUCCUUGGGAUGGUUUAGUCUGGGAGCUCCCCCCGGGGUUCCACCUCUUCUUCCCGUGGAACAGAGCGUUCCUCCCUUCCCUGGAGUUUAUCCCAAAGACACAACAAACCCAAACAUCCUCCUCCUCCUCCUCCUCCUGGAAGUGCUGCUCAGGGAGGUCUGGAGUCCCCAGCCCUGGAUGCUGAGCUUCCAGAAUCCUGGAAUGGUUGGGCUUGGAAGGCACCUCAAAGCUCUCCACAUCGUCCCAGGUGUCCAAGGAAUUCUGGAUGUGGCACUCAGGUGACAAGGUGGGGAUGGGGCACAGCCUGGACUCCAUCACCUCAGAGGGCUUUUCCACCCUCAGGGAUUCUGGAAUUCCUGCUCACCAACCAGAGCCUUUUUCCAAGCACUGCUCUUCCCUCCCCCUUGCCAUCCUGAUUUUCCACCCUGGUGGUGGGUGAUACAUUCCCAGAACAGCUGGAUUAGGCCUAGGGCCCAAUUAGCCUCAUUGAAAAUAGAAAAUAAUAAUUAAUCAUUAAAAAUACAAACUAAUAAUUCCUUGUUCCAAGUUUUCCAUGGACAGCCCUGCCAGGGAUUGAGUGCCUGAUGCUGGAGUGGGGCUCAGCUUUUCUUUUAAUGCUAUUUUUUAACUGGAGGCAGCUCUGUUGAUGUGAUUUGGGAGGGAAAUUUUUGGGACUCAGUGACCUUGGAGGGCUUGUCCAACCUCAGGGAUUCUGGAAUUCCUGCUCACCAACCAGAGCCUUUUUCCAAGCACUGCUCUUCCCUCCCCCUUUGCCAUCCUGAUUUUUCACCCUGGUUGUGGUGGAUUAGGCUUAGGGUCCAAUUAACUAGAUUAAAAUAGGUCUAGUGAUUUAGUUUAAAAGUAUAAACUAACAAUUCCUCAUUAAAAAUAUCAACAAAUAGUUCCUCAUCCAGAAUAUAAAUUAAGAAUUCCUCGUUCCAAGUUGGUUUUCCAUGGACAGCCCCAGCAGGGAUUGAGUGCCUGAUUCUGGAGCUGGGGUUCAGCUUUUUUUUAAAUACUGUUUUUUUAACUGGAGGCAGCUCUAUUUGUCCAUGCUUUGGGAGAGUAAUUUAAUGGGUAAAUAUAAUCUUUAUUAAUAUUUUCUUUGUUAACUCAUUGAUGUUGGUAAAGAGCUUUGAAGAUGAAAGCGCUGUGUGCAAUAAAUAUUAACGUUAUUCCAACUUAUUUGAAUGUUGCCAGCAUUCCAGCUCCAACAUCUUUCAUCCAAGAAUCUCAAAGUGCUUUUCCAAAUGUUAAUUAAUUUCCUCUCAGCAGUCCAGGGAGACACCUUUUAUCAGCAGCAUCUUCCUUUCCCCAAGGAGUUGUUCCGAGCGCAUUUUACCCCGCGGAUUUGGGCAAGCUCAGGGAAUGUGGCAGGAGUUUUUUGGGAUUGAUCCAAGAAUUCCAGCCUCCCUCCCGUUCUCCCAGCCCUGCUGCCUGACAGCAUUCCCUUCCUGGGAGUGGGGUGUGACUCUCAGCUGCUUUAUUGGUGGCUCUUGAAAGGAAAAACCCGGGCAAGGAUCACAAGCCCCACCCAGGGCAGGGGAGGAAAUGAAACUCUUCCAGAUCAGGAUGAUCCCAAUCAGAAAUCCACAAAUUUUCAGGAUUUUCUGUGUGCAGGAGGAAAUCUUGAUGAGCAGUUGAGUCAGAAUGUUGUAAUUCUUGCUUAAAAGAUGAUUAAAAUGCAAGUAUUUUCUGAAAUGCAGCAUAGGUGAAGAUCUGAGGUGAAGGAAAUGAAACUCUUCCAAAUCAGGAUGAUCCUGCACAGGGGAGGAUCUGAGCUAAAGGAAAUGAAAAUCUUCCAAAUCAGGAUGAUCACAGCCAGAAAUCCACAAAUUUUCAGGAUUUUUGAUCUGCAGGAGGAAAUCUUGAUGGGAUGUUGAGUCAGGAUCUCAUAAUUCUUAUUUGAAAGACCAUUAAAGUGGAAAUAUUUUCUCAGGUGAAGAUCUGAGCUGAAGGAAAUGGAACUCUUCCAAAUCAGGAUGAUCCCAGUAAGAGAUCCACCAAUUUCCAGGAUUUUAAUGUUUCAUUUUUUGAUUUUUCAGGAGGAAAUCUUGAUGGGGUGUUGAGUAGAAUCUCAUAAUAAUUCCUAUUUAAGGGAAGAUUAAAAUGGAAGUAUUUUCUCAAAUGCAGCACAGGUGAAGAAGAUCUGAGCUGAAGGAAAUGAAAUUCUUCCAAAUCAGGAUGAUCACAGCCAGGAAUCCAUGAAUUUUCAGGAUUUUUGAUCUGCAGGAGGAAAUCUUGAUGGGAUGUUGAGUCAGGAUCUCGUAAUUCUUAUUUGAAAGACCAUUAAAGUGGAAAUAUUUUCUCAGGAGGAAAUCUUCAUGGGAUGUUGAGUCAGGAUCUUGCAGUUCUUACUUGAAAGACCAUUAAAAUGGAAAUAUUUUCUGAAAUGCAGCACAGAUGGAGAUCUGAGCUGCAGGGGAAAUGCUGCAGGUGAAACUUCUCCUGAAAAACCCUCCCCAGUCCAGAGGUGAGUGAGUGAUGAGCCAAAAAAAGAGGAUUUCGAGACAACGUGACUCCAGCAGGCCAUGAGAACAAUGAGAAGUUCAAAAAUAGCACUAUUGACUGGUGGAAAAACAACAUACAUAUAAUUUUCAGGUAAUUACUGCAGCAUAAUUAGCUGGGUUGUUUUCACAUGAGCCAUCUGAAAUGAACUCUGCUCGCUGCUGGAGCUCAGCUUCAUUUGCAGCAUUCCCAUGACUCAGGGGAUGCUGGAAGGAGAGGGAUUGGGGGAAAAAUGAAGAUUUUUUUCCUAGCUGAGCCCAUCUCGGGGCACAGCCUGGCUGCUGCUGCUUUAUCCUGAGUUUAUCCUGCUUUUUAGGAAAAAAAAAAAAAGGAAAUUUGGAGCAAAAUCUACUCUAUAGGAAUUCCAUGUGUGGGCCAUAAUGGGAAUUAUAGGACAGGAAAGAGACUCGAAUUGGAACAGGCCUUUUUCUAGAUCACUCUCUGGGAAAAAUGAUUAUAAAUUCAGAUUACAUGAAAAUAUCAGUAUUUUACAUGCACUGUGUGAGUGGAGGGAUGGGGGAACAUCCUAAGGACUCGCUCCCCAAGUUCUGGAAAAUGUGAAUUAUUUUUAUUUCCUUGUUUUAUUGCCACAGGCUUUGCUUAUGAAGAAUCAUUUACUAUCUGUAGAAACAACUGACUUAAGCACUGGGGCCUUAAAAAACCACUUUUAAUUGGAAUGAGAGAGUUCCUCCCAGUGAAACCCUGGGUUUGUUGAUGCUGGAAGUCUGGAGAGUGCAAUUAAAAGCCUCCCUCACCUCUGUGAUGAUAUUUUGGAAAUAAAUGCAGUUUUCUGGAGUUCUUCUCCUCAGGUUUGAGUAGUUUUUGGCCAAUUUGGAGCUUCUGGAGGAUCUGAUGUUUUAAGUCUUGCCUGGCUUUCAAUUUCUCAGCUCCCCGGGACCUGCUGUGGUUGCUUUUUUACUCUUUCUUCUCGUGUUGCAUCCACAAAUUAUGAAAAUGGGUGCUAAUGACCCAAAAAAAAAAAAAAUCCCAAUUGUGAUUCAUGGAAAUGGAAUUUUGUUGACAAAAAAAAGGGGAUUUAACUCGGCCAAAGGAAAUGCUUUUCCAAGUGGAGAUGAAUAUCUCAGGAAUGACCAUUUCUUCUCAGAGACAGAACUAUUCCAGUUUUAAUUUCAGAAAAAAAAAUAAAUAGAAUAAUUCAAAUAAAAGCCCGGAGAAAAGCAAGCAGACCCACCCACCAGGCGUGGUUUUUGCAGGGAAAGAAGUGCCAGAAGUGAAUUUUAGGUGAGUGAAACGCAGGUGAGGAGGAUGCUGGGGCAGGAAACGCUGUCACCUCCCCUGGGCUGGCCACACCUCGUCCCAGUGCAGCCCAGCAGCUCCCCCAGUCCCGGAGUGCUUCGGCUUGGGAGGCACCUCCGGGCUCCCCUACUCCUCCUCGUCAUCCCAGCUGUCCCCAGGUCUGCUCCCGAGGUCCCCAGGUGUCCCCAAACCCUGUCCAGGUGGCCCUUAGACCCCUCAACCCCAUCCCCAAUGUCCCCAGGUGUCCCCAGCCCUCAUCCUGGUGUCCCCAGGAUUCCCCAGGGCUGGUUUUGAUAGCCCAGGCGUCCCCAGCCCUGUCCCCAGAGUGUCCUCAGGUGCCCCAGGUCUUGGUCUUGGUGUCCCUUAGACCCCCUCAUCCCCAUCCCCAAUGUCCCCAAGUGUCCCCAGCCCUGGUCCUGGUGUCCCUAACCCUGUCCCCGAUGUCCCCAACCCUGUCCCUGAUGUCCCCAGGUGUCCCCACUGCUGUCCACAAUGUCCCCAGCCCUGUCCAGGUGUCCCCCAACCUGUCCCCAGGUGUCCCUAACCCUGUCCCUGAUGUCCCUCAGUGUCCCCAGCCCUGUUCCUGGUGACCCCACGUGUCCCCAGUCCUGGUCCUGGUGUCUCUGGGUGUCCCCAACCCUGUUCCAAACAUUCCCAGGUGUUCCUCACCCUGUUCCCGAUGU